Molecule: non-coding RNA, 135 nt
Organism: Triticum aestivum (bread wheat)
Lineage: Eukaryota; Viridiplantae; Streptophyta; Magnoliopsida; Poales; Poaceae
Source: Rfam
CAACUACUCCCUCUAUCCCAAAUUUCUUGUCUUAGAUUUGUCUAGAUACGGAUAUAUCUAAUACUAAAAUGUGACUUGAUACAUCCGUAUCUAGACAAAUCUAAGACAAGAAUUUUGGGACGGAGGGAGUACUUU